GUGGGAACAUUUCCUCUUUAUUGGCAUAUUGGCGCUGCUGAAGACUUUGAGAAACAAUGGUGUCUGGUGUGGUUCUCAACACUUUAAGAGGAAUGUAGCGAAACUGGAGAGAGUCCAGCAAAGAGUAACAAACGUGAUAAAAGAGUAGGAAAACAGAACCUGAGAGGAAAGGUUAAUAACUAGGAUUGUGUAGGCUGAAGGAGCAAGAGGGCUAAAGGGUGAGUUAAUAUCUGUUUAAACAUAUGCCUGGCUAUUAUAAUGAGCAAGCUGACUAGCUGUUCCACACGAACCUAAUAAGAGAAUGGGGGGGAGGGGCAUUUACACUGCAGCCUUAGGUUUGUGUUAGAUAUAAAGAAAUAUUUGGUGGGAAUAGAAGAAGUUGUUUUACACAAAAGCACUCUUAAAAAGGGGUUUGUGCAGCAGCUUUUCUUCGAGAGAUGGAGGACUGCAAUGCAAUGGGCAUUUGCUUGAUGUUCCAGUUAGUCGGAGUUGACAAGACUGAGCCAGUCAUGGAGGAAAAGGCACCCAAGAUGUUAACCACAUUCUUGGAUUCCUGGGCACCCUCCAGUUUCUGACCUUGUUCUCCUAAACUCCAGCCUGCAACUCUCUGUGAAAAUGCAAAUAGCAAAAUGGGGAUAAUGUGUACUGUGACAUGGAGUAACAGGGGAUGCAUUUCCUUCAGUGGUGUCUUCACUUGGAGAAGCCUCAAUGCCGUCAAGAAGAGGAUGCCCACCAGGAAACUGCAAAUUCCAUGCUCUCAUGCUUUCUGACUUCUGCAUAGUUUCAUCCAAGGGGAAGCAGUUUUACAGAAUUCAGUGAUGUGAGUUACUGAAGGGCCUGAGUAUUGCUCCUCUGUUCUCUCUUUUUUAAGUAACACGUCUGGCUGGGGCUCCUCCGUGGUUCCAACCUGCAUCAGCCAGCCAUUUCCUCCACGGUCUCAACUCUGGCAAGACACUUCCCGUUGGUUUUGCAUUCUUGCUAGAUGGUCCCUCUUCUUGGCUCUGGUCUUACCACAUUAUGCUGUUGUCCCUCUAGCCCCAGGGGUAGCAGCUCCCAGUUUUUGCCCAUCUCUUAGUUGCCUCACCAUCUCUUACAUGGCUCCUCAUUUCUCCUAUUAGCUAUGUACCCAAUUCACUGUAUUAAAUUCCUCCACUGUAAAAGACCAAGAUUAGUUUCUGUUUCCUGGCUGGACCUGGACUGAUACUGAUGAAAAAAUAUGUUAAAGAUUAUGAGUGUUCUGUAAAUGUAGAGUAUUAGUACCAUAGUCAUCUUAAUGAUUGUCAUAUGUUCCAAAGGUGAUAUAUUUAGUAAAUCUGCCAUUUUGGCACUCUCCCAUUAUUAUCUCCCUUCAUGGGCAUGGGUAAUCAAUUAUCUAUGUUAUGAAUAUAUCCAUGAAAUUAUAUGUAGAGGGAUGGAAUAUUAUGUUUUGUUUCUGUUUUAUAUAUAUGUAUCUCUAUUAAUGGAAAAAUGCAGAAUUAGAAUGGGAGUAUUUCGGAAUGUGUUUGGAUGUCACUUCAAAUUUAUUUCAGUGUGGAGCAGAGGGAAUGGUGGCAAUUUCCUUUUAGCUACCUUUCCUAUUUCAUCUCCUGACUUUUGUUAAAGAAUGUAUCAAUCCUCAGGGAGAGACUUAUAAAAGCAAACAAAAGAAAGCAUUAGAAAGAAAUACUGAAAUGGCUUAUUUUGUCCAGAAGCAAACUUCUGACAACGUUCUAUGACUUACCCAUGUACCAUCAUCUAUCAUCUAUUUACCUACUUACUUGGAGAAGUCAGAAGUUAACUGCUUGUCAUGGGCAUGAAUAUUAACAUAUUUAUUUGUAUUGAAAAAUAAAGUCAAAUUGUUGUGCUGGAAAUUAAAUCUGGCUUGACUGAUUGGUUUGAAAAUGAAUACUGGCUCUAAUUCAUGCCAAUCAGGUCAUAUGGUGGGCAUUUUCCAUAAGCUGAAUGAACUAAAUCGAGAGCUCCCAGCUUUUUGAUGAAAUUGUAUUUAAAGCAGGUGACAACAUAAAAGUAUUUUAAAAGUUUUUUCUAACUUUGUAUUUAUCAGUUUAAGCAAGUUGCCUCUAAGUGGAAGAAACACAGGUCUAAUUAACAGUUUUUUAACAAGUCUUGGUAAAGUCUUUCCUGCAACAGAGAAAGUAAAAGAUUCUAAUGACAGAAUGGCAUGCAUUUAUUGACUCAUUUGUUGCAUUCUACAAAAUUGAAGACCUAAUUGAAUUGUCAGCUGAUAGAUUAUUAAAACUGAUGAUAGAUCACAAUGUGAUUUUUUUAUAUGGACCUCAGAAAAUAUUUGAAGAAUUGAAUAGUGUUGCCAUGACAAAACUUCUUCUAUUGACAUCUCUUUGUUUAUAGGAACAAAUUUUCUCAGCAGAUACAUUUUUAAAGCAAAC
Molecule: long non-coding RNA, 2387 nt
Organism: Equus caballus (horse)
Lineage: Eukaryota; Metazoa; Chordata; Mammalia; Perissodactyla; Equidae
Source: Ensembl